AUUCAAUUCAAUUCAAUCCACCAAUCUACGGAUCGGAUUUAUGCAGAUCAGACGGAUUAAGCAGAUUGGAUUGCAUUCCAAACACCCCCUAUUUCGUACAAUCAAGUCUACCUGAGUUUUUGGUGGCCAAUUAGUGUACAGUCAAUCCAAAAGUCAACAAAGUUGUACCAAAAUACGCUACACUACACCAUACUAAAUUCAAGUCUGUAAUCCAAACGGACCAAACCCAUCUUCAAUCAUGUCUCGAUUUGAACCUUAUUAUUACCUGUUAUCCGAAGGUUUAACGGCUUUUAACAAAUGGGGUGUUUCAGUGAUGCUUGCCUUGAUAAACAAUGUUGACAGCAUAGUUAUACAUCUAUUAAUUAUUAGAGAAAAGAUUACCAUUUGUCUAGGGUUGGCAAUAAACUCUGGAUCAGUCCGGAUCCGCAAAGAUCUGGAAGAUCCGAAUCCAAAAAAAUUCGAAUCUUAAAAAUUAAGAUCUAUGUGGAUCCGGAUGUAAGUACAUUCAGAAAACUGGAUAUCCGGAUCUGCAUUA
Molecule: long non-coding RNA, 535 nt
Filed under: Citrus x clementina
Lineage: Eukaryota; Viridiplantae; Streptophyta; Magnoliopsida; Sapindales; Rutaceae
Description: Citrus clementina (C. clementina) long non-coding RNA (CCLE_LNC001992)
Source: RNAcentral